Molecule: long non-coding RNA, 213 nt
Filed under: Salvia miltiorrhiza (redroot sage)
Lineage: Eukaryota; Viridiplantae; Streptophyta; Magnoliopsida; Lamiales; Lamiaceae
Description: long non-coding RNA (SMIL_LNC003109)
Source: RNAcentral
CGGCAGGAAAGAAGGAGAAGGCGAUUUCCACCCCAUUUGUUGACAACAAUCGAUCAUACGAAGACGCUAAACACGAAAUAGGUAAGUUACGGCUAAAAUCCAAUGGUUGAAUGCCUUUUUUCAGAGCAUGCAAGGGCGAUGGAAUUGUAUGAUUUUUUAUUUUUUUUGUGUUUUUUCUUCGAAUUUUUUUAAGAUGAAGCAUGAAUGUAGCCC